GACGAACGCUGGCGGCGUGCUUAACACAUGCAAGUCGAACGGAAAAGCCCCAGCUUGCUGGGGUGCUUCAGUGGCGAACGGGUGAGUAACACGUGAGUAACCUGCCCUUGACUCUGGGAUAAGCUCAGGAAACUGGGUCUAAUACCGGAUAGGAGCACCUCCCGCAUGGUCACUUUCGGGAAGUUUCGUCGGUUGGGGAUGGACUCGCGGCUUAUCAGCUUGUUGGUGGGGUAGUGGCUUACCAAGGCGUCGACGGGUAGCCGGCCUGAGAGGGCGACCGGCCACACUGGGACUGAGACACGGCCCAGACUCCUACGGGAGGCAGCAGUGGGGAAUAUUGCACAAUGGGCGAAAGCCUGAUGCAGCGACGCCGCGUGAGGGAUGACGGCCUUCGGGUUGUAAACCGCUUUCGGCAGGGAAGAAGCGAGAGUGACGGUACCGGCAGAAGAAGCACCGGCUAACUACGUG
RNAcentral lists this ribosomal RNA (468 nucleotides) under uncultured bacterium. RNAcentral describes it as "partial 16S ribosomal RNA". It matches the Rfam family "Bacterial small subunit ribosomal RNA", at positions 28 to 507 of the family's 1533-position model. The record is from RNAcentral.